GCAUGUCUAAGUAUACGAAGUUUACUUUGAAACUGCGAACGGCUCAUUAACCAGUUAUAGUUUCUUUGAUAUUUACCUUCUACUGGGAUAACCGUAGUAAUUCUAGAGCUAAUACCUGCAUUAAGGAAAGAGAUAUGUUAAUUUGUAUUUAUUUCUGCAUAAAUUAGAUCGAAACCAAUAUUAUAYUUGUAGCAAUACAAAUAUAAUUGAAGGUGAUUCAUAAUUUAAUAAUAGCAAAUCGCACAAAUUAAAAUAGAUUUUGGUUAUGUUAAGAAAUGAUCAUUCUCGUUUCUGCCCUAUCAGCUGCGAUGGUACUGUAUUGCCCUACCAUGGCUUUGACGGGAAACGGAGAAUUAUACUUUGCUUCCGGAGAGGGAGCCUGAGAAACCGCUACCCCAUCCAAGGAAGGCAGCAGGCGCGUAAAUUACCCCAUCCCGAAACGGGGAGGUAGUGGCGGUAAGUACCAAUGACGGGUCUCAAUUAAAUGAGUCUUGAUUUGGAAUGAGCACAAUUUAAAUCCCUUAGCGAGGAUCCAUUGGAGGGCAAGUCUGGUGCCAGCAGCCGCGGUAAUUCCAGCUCCAAUAGCGUAUAUUAAUGUUGUUGCAGUUAAAAAGCUCGUAGUUGAAUAUCAUGGAAUAACUAAAAUGAAUCAAAAAGGUAUGCAGUAAAAUGUAUACUUUCAUUUGUUAUUCUAUAAAUAUUGAUGAGUAUUGGUGAUUAAUCUAAUCAUUCAUUCCAAUACGCAUCAACCUUUACUGUGAAAAAAUCAAAGCGUUCAAAGCAGGCAUCUUAUUGCAAUUGAAUGUUACAGCAUGGAAUAAUAAUCUAAGCCAUUGUCUUAUUUUGUUGGUUUACAAGACACCGGAAUGUUAAAUAGGAACAGUCGGGGAUAUCCGUACUUAGAAGUCAGAGGUGAAAUUCUUGGAUUUUCUAAAGACGAACUACUGCGAAAGCAUUUAUCAAGGAUGUUUUCAUUAAUCAAGAACGAAAGUUUGGGGAUCGAAGAUGAUUAGAUACCAUCGUAGUCUAAACCAUAAACUAUGCCAAUUCGAGAUGGUGUUAAAAAUGAAGGUUAUUUUAACCAAUAACCUGAAUACGAUAAUUAAUCAUAAUAUGAUAAAAUGUCAAACACUGAAUCGUAUGCGAAAGCAAAAUGUUUGGGUUCUGGGGGGAGUAUGAUCGCAAGGUUGAAACUUAAAGGAAUUGACGGAAGGGCACCAUCAGGCGUGGAGCCUGCGGCUCAAUUUGACUCAACUCGGGGAAACUUAGCAGGGCAGG
Molecule: ribosomal RNA, 1278 nt
Filed under: Archerella flava
Lineage: Eukaryota; Bigyra; Amphitremida; Amphitraemidae
Description: SSU rRNA
Rfam family: Eukaryotic small subunit ribosomal RNA
Source: RNAcentral